Molecule: non-coding RNA, 4549 nt
Organism: Doryrhamphus excisus (bluestripe pipefish)
Lineage: Eukaryota; Metazoa; Chordata; Actinopteri; Syngnathiformes; Syngnathidae
Source: RefSeq, a predicted model, not a curated record
GUGUUAGUUAAAAGUACUGAUUUAUUUCAAAGUAGAGCAACAUGUGUAACAGUAACAGCAUUAAAUCAAACCACUUUAUAUAGCUUAAAUAAAGUUGAGUCAAUUUAGUGUGCUGCACACUUCUUAAGGCGUCAAGCUAGGACAGUUUGACCAAUGUACUAUCACGACUCCAUCAACUGGCAACCAUUACACAUUUCAUGCAACAGGUUUACCGCAAGGAGAGGUGUCAGGAUCCUGGCUUGGGCCUGCAGGACUGACAGAACCAGAGGGACAGGCCUUAGUGUCUUCCACAGCAUCAAAUAGCAAAUCAAAAGAAAGGUCGUCAUUGUGAGAUGACCCCUCGCUCUCCACACAGCCGGGCACACUGUUCUCCUCCACAAGACCAUCUCCCACAUGCCCUCCAGUGUGGUCCAAGUUGGCGGCAGGGGAAGGUGCCAGGGAAACCUGAGAACCGCGGCUACUGGAGCUUUCGCCAUCGAGCAUCAUGGAGUCCAGCUCUGAGAUUUUGUCCAGAUACGCCGCAUCCAUGGAGGCUUCACUGGAUUUCUGGAAACUGUCCUGCUCGUCAGCACCAAGAUUUGCAGACAUGGAAUCAGAAGCAAAGUUCUCUGUGCUUGGACCCGGAGAUGAUUGGUCAUUUGACUUUGAGCACUUCCAAGUCCCCCAAAAAACAGGCUUCAUUGAUUCCAUGUCUGCAUUAGUCGGCAAACCUUUGGUGAACUUGUCCCCGCUGUUGAACUGGUUCCCUGCGGUGCUCUCCACGGGACUUGGAAAGUCAUCAAAAUCGAGCCUCCUGAGGUGAGCCACAGGUUUAAACGCAACUUUCUUCUCACGCACACCAGGGCUCCUCAGUGUCAGGGAACGGAAGGCAGAGGAGGGAGUAGAAGGCAAGAAGUCUGAGGAGGUGCCAUCUAAGUCCUCGCCUUUAUUGGUGAUGCCACAGAGAUUCUUGGGAGGGUCCUUGUGAUCCACACAGGAGGAGAACAUCAAACUACGUCCUGACCCGACUCUCCAGGUCUUCGAUGUACUGGUCACUGCGUUCCAGUGCCUUCUUCAGUUGUUCGACAUCUCGCUGAUACUGCUGGAUUUUUGCUUCCAAGGCAGCAACGGUAUAUCGCCCAAACCUGGGGAUGGACCAUGAUCGCUACUCCCGGGCACCGCUGACCAAACCUCCGACACGUCCAGAACUUGCUCCCAACACUUGUGCUUCCUGUUGGGAAUGUGGCCGAGGAGCGCGAGGAGCGUUGUGGCCCUCUGACAUUUGCCUGGAAAAGAGAGGAUGUGCUCGACUGUCUUGUUUGACGUCUCCAUCAUCUGACACUUUUUUUCAUUUGAGGGAACACAGCCUCCUCUUCUGGACAAAAGUGAAAGUAGCAAAUCCUAUGAUGAAGCUCUCAUAACACAAACUGGCCUGAGUGAGUUUCCUGGUGAAGUACAAGCGCCGACAGCCACACCGGUGAGCCUGCCGUCCUCAGUUGGGUGACUUCCGUCUCCCUGGUGAUGAGGGUGAGGUCCCCUGCGGAGAUGAAGACAGAGGAGGUGGGCAAGAUGGAGACAGCAGUGAAGGAGUCGUGUGCGCAUUCCAGAUCAGGUGUUUCUCCUUUAACGGUUGAGGUCGGGUGUCAGGUCAGUGGGAGCUAAUUUUAACAUGAACCAGCAGGGUGUCAAGGUUUAUCUUAAACCUGACGUAGACCCACCGGGCCCUUCUCUUAGCAUGCAAAUGAGACAGGGACAAAUGUCCUGUCACUUCUGGGGCCCCUUGUCCCAAAGUGCUUAACAGUCUUUGCUGUCACCCCCCCCCCCUUUCUCUCUCUCCUUCUCCAAUUGCUUCAAAAGCCCUCUCAUCCCAUCCUCACUCUCUUUUCUCCCUCUUAUGUUCUUUAAAUGAGCUUUCCAACUCCACUUCUUUCUUGCAAUUCAAUUUUCCAAGGCCAUUAUCCCUGGUGUAAUGUGGAGGUUAAAUAUAUCAGGGCAGAUGUUAUGUGAAAAUAAUUAGUGCUGAUGAAUAAUGCAGUCAUUCAGUUGAUGAAGGAUGGUUGUCAGGGUAAUGCAGGGACAAGGGAGGGGCCUCGCUGACAAAUUAAAAAUAUUUAAACGCCCUUUUAUAAUAUUACCAAGCCAUCAUAGUCUUUCGGUGAUACCUUCUCCUCGACAUGAAGAUGCAGUGCAUUACUCAAGUGCAUCAUCCGUCUCAUUAAAAGGGAGAACUUCUCCCCACAGUACACUUUUCAAACCCUGUCCACACACUAAUCAUGUACACUUCCUGGUAAUCAUUUGCAGGACGUCCCGGAAUCUUAUCGACAGCCUAUGUCUGUCUGUCAGAUUCCCUUUUUAUUUAUUGUUAUUACACUCGUUCUGCCUCUUACGAUCUCAUUCUGCACCCAUCAGGUGACAAUGAAGGAUGUACGUUUUAAAUCAUCCCGUUUACAGCGUUGUCCCGGCCAAUUGGCCGUCUUGAAUCGAUAAUGUUGGACCAGAACGGCUUUGCCAGUGAUAAAUGGUCGCACGUCAACGCCAUUUCAUUAGACAUGAUGGUUACAGGAGGUAAGAGGAAAGUGCCUUUGACAGGAAGUCUAAUGACUUCAUUCAUACGAGCCUGUAACGUCCUCUUAUCCAACGCUCCGGACAGUGAAGCCUUGGUUUUUUGGGGCAUUAAUGCGUAGAAUAAUUAUAGUUUGGCAUACAGAAAACAAAGAGAACUACAGUAAUUGUUUAUCACAAAUAUUUCUUACAAUUGGAAUAUUUUCAUAAAGCAUAAAAAACAUGUUAAUGACUGUUAUGUUUAAACACUGUUUUGUUGUGCUUGAUCUUGGGUUUGUUUUUAAGCAGGGAGCAUCUGAGUGUGAAUGUGAGUGUGAAUGUUUGUUUGUCUAUAUGUGCCCUGUGAAUGGCUGGCGACCAGUCCAGGGUGUACCCUGCCUCUCGCCCGAAGACAGCUGGGAUAGGCUCCAGCACCCCAGCACCCCCUGCGACCCUCGUGAGGAAAAAGCGGUAGAAAAUGAAUGAAUGAAUGAAUGAUCCACACGAGACCGCAGAUAUCUGGCACUAAAAAUGAAGAUUUCAAAACCUCCUGACAAAAGUGAAGAUAUGGAGAAAAAUCUGGUGAUGUGUUUAGGUAUGGAUGCAAAUAACCGGAGUUUUACAUUUCCACGCAACCUGUGUUUACGUCACAAACAACAUGGAUGCCAUUAGAUCUGUGUUGGUUGCACUUUUUGCUUGCUUUCCCAAAUACUGCAUCAUCCUGAAGAGCAGAGGUGAAGAAGCACUUUGAGGUCGGACAUUUUCUCUCAAAUAAUCAUUCCACGUCCAAGAUAUCUUCCUUGUAACAGGCUCCGACGCCGGUUUUGGGUAAGACCGGGAUGCACUGCCAGCUGGUGGAAGAUGGAAGUCGUGCUUCUGGAGGAAUGGCGCAAGAAUUCCUGAACAAUUUCACGGUCCUCACUUUUAUCCAUGCGGUUAUGUGUGGAUGUUUUUUUUUUAAUACAAGAUUGUGUGGACACCAUUUUUUUCAUAAACAGAGAUGGGGAAAUAUUUUUUAGUUCUUGUUUGCCCUGAUGGUUUUGGUUUUGGUUCUGUUUAGGAUUUUUAGUUGUGUCUUUCCCUUGUUUUGGUGACAGGAUGGCGGCCAUGUUAUAGGUUUGGAAUUUUUACCUCACCGUCUUUAGGUUUUCCUGGGUUGGCGCAUCUUUAUUUGGUCAUAAAAGGCGUUUUCAUCUAUUGUUCAGUUUACAAUAAACUUUGGUGACUUGAUUUUCUCACCUUCUGUGUCCUCCUUACAUAUGUUACGUUCCCCAUGUCAUAAAAACAACCUUCUAAGUAUAAUAAGUAACAUUAUUAGAGCCCUCUAGACAUAAACUAACACCCCUAUUGUCACGUUUACACUCGUAUUACCCAAUAUAGUGGACAUUAGAGGGACCCAAUCAUAUACCGAUACCAAAACAAGACCAGGGAAUGGCAAAUAACAGGACCACCAGGUCUAGGCAGUUGGUAACAAAAUCCCUAAACCGAGUUAGAGGUGUCACAGCCGUCCCUGCAUGUGAAAUGGGCACCCAGGACCAAUCCCCCUGCAAUCCCACUUUAUACUCAUCAAGAGGUUAGAGGUCCCCUUGAGCAAGGCACCAAACCUUCCAUCUGACAUUUGUAACUUGCCUGCAUGUGUGGGGAAUCUGUUACAGUAACGUAAUGUAACAACCACUUACUGUACAUAUUAAUAACUGCAACACUCCAAGGUGUAACCAGCGUCUGCCCUGAAGUCAGCUGGGAUAGGCUCCAGCAUACCCCCACUUACAGUUUGGUAAGAAAUCAGCAAGAGCCGUCACUUUUUAGUGAACCGAACCAAAAGAACCGGUUCCCUUAAAAGAGCCGACAGCAUGUUGUCAUGGUGACUGUCUUAAAAAGUGUCAUUGAAACUACAAAGUGUGUCUUUUGGAAAGGUUUUUUUUUUUGUUUUUGUUUUCCCCUGUUAUUAUUAUCAUUGUAAUAUUAUUAUUGUUAUUAUCAUUAUCAUUAUUAUCAUUAUUGUUAUAAUCUUUAUCAUUAUAAUCAUCAU